AUUGAACGCUGGCGGCAUGCUUUACACAUGCAAGUCGAACGGCAGCACGAAAGAGCUUGCUCUUUUGGUGGCGAGUGGCGAACGGGUGAGUAAUGCAUCGGAACGUACCGAGUAAUGGGGGAUAACUGUCCGAAAGGAUAGCUAAUUCCGCAUACGCUUUGAGAAGGAAAGUGGGGGCUCUUCGGACCUCACGUUAUUCGAGCGGCCGAUGUCUGAUUAGCUAGUUGGUGGGGUAAAGGCCUACCAAGGCGACGAUCAGUAGCGGGUCUGAGAGGAUGAUCCGCCACACUGGGACUGAGACACGGCCCAGACUCCUACGGGAGGCAGCAGUGGGGAAUUUUGGACAAUGGGCGCAAGCCUGAUCCAGCCAUGCCGCGUGUCUGAAGAAGGCCUUCGGGUUGUAAAGGACUUUUGUUAGGGAAGAAAAGGAUAGUGUUAAUACCAUUAUCUGCUGACGGUACCUAAAGAAUAAGCACCGGCUAACUACGUG
RNAcentral lists this ribosomal RNA (490 nucleotides) under uncultured bacterium. RNAcentral's name for it is "partial 16S ribosomal RNA". It matches the Rfam family "Bacterial small subunit ribosomal RNA", at positions 30 to 507 of the family's 1533-position model. The record is from RNAcentral.